Humulus lupulus (European hop) is the source of this 1100-nucleotide long non-coding RNA. RefSeq lists it as uncharacterized. The transcript is spliced from 2 exons. Lineage: Eukaryota; Viridiplantae; Streptophyta; Magnoliopsida; Rosales; Cannabaceae. The record is from RefSeq and is a predicted model, not a curated record.
AGAAGAAAAGAUGGGUCAUCACGUAUUGGGCUUUGGAAAAGGGAAUUGACAAAAUGAGAUCUUACAUCAUAUAUGUGUAUAUAUGUGAUGAAGGAAAGCAAAUGGGCCACGUGAUUAGCCUUGGACAUUGCAACCAAGGGUAUCAUAUGCAUAUGAUAUAUAUAUAUAUAUAUAUAUAUAUCAUCAAGGGAAAAGAAGGGGGCGGCUGCUACAGAGGGGAGGCCGACAAAAAGCAACCAGAGAAAAAGAGAACAAUGAAGAAAAAGAAGAAGAACAAGAAAAAAAGAGAGUUUAUUUGAGUGUUAUUUAGGGUUUUAGUUUUGAAUUUUAAUUUUGAGAUUGGCAAAUUUUCAAAGGAAGAAGAAGAGGAAUUUGGAAGAAAAACUUAGAGUCUUGUGACAACUCUAAAUCGGUUGCUGGUGCAGCUGGUCCAUUGACCUAAUCCCAGCCAAUGGGAAGGCGCCACGUAGGCGGCUGGCUGAAGGGAAAGGUUUUGGACUGCUGGAUUGCUUGGGGGAAUCGGACCUUGGAGUGAAGCUGCUGAAGAGAGUUGGGCCUGCAUGUGGCUACUGAGGAGAGCUGGGCCUGUGAGGGCUGAGGCUUUCGUUGGGCCCACAUUGCAUUGAUGUAGUGAAGUGAGGCUAGUUGGGAAGCUGGGCUAAUGGGCUGAAGGAGGUAGGGGAAAGCUGAUGGGCCUGGCCUUGAGAGGCUGCUGAAGUGAAGAGAAGUUGUUGGAGAUGGGCCUUCGCUGAAGGAGAAAAGGAGGUUUGAAGAGGCAUAUGCGUGCAUGGCUAGUUGACAGUGUGGCAGAUGUGGCUUAGCUGGGACUCAGACAGGUGGCGCAACAGGGGGUCGCCAGGUGGCGGCUGGGCAAGGAGAAAAAGAGACAUAUUUUGCUGGGCUUGGGCUAUUUGGGCCGAACUAUAUGCUUCAAUUUUGCAAAAAUGCCAACUUUUCUUCUUUUCUUCAACUUUAUUUAUUUCUUUCUUCUUUCUUUUCUUUAUGACAAAAUACAUCUUUAAUUCCUACAAAAUAACAAUAAAUUAAAUCAUAAUCAAACAUUUUCAUUUAUAAAAUAAAUUAUAUUAUUUCAAUGAAAA